RNAcentral lists this ribosomal RNA (271 nucleotides) under uncultured bacterium. RNAcentral's name for it is "partial 16S ribosomal RNA". It matches the Rfam family "Bacterial small subunit ribosomal RNA", at positions 524 to 794 of the family's 1533-position model. The record is from RNAcentral.
GACAGAGGUGGCAAGCGUUAUCCGGAAUUAUUGGGCUUAAAGGGCGUGUAGGCGGCAUUGCAAGUCUGGGGUGGAAUCCGGUGGCUUAACCACCGAACUGCCCUGGAAACUGCAUUGCUUGAGUCAGUGAGGGGAGGGCGGAAUUCCCGGUGUAGCAGUGAAAUGCGUAGAUAUCGGGAGGAAGGCCGGUGGCGAAGGCGGCCCUCUGGUGCUUGACUGACGCUGAGGCGCUAAAGCGUGGGGAGCAAACAGGAUUAGAAACCCGUGUAGU